This 491-nucleotide ribosomal RNA is filed under the name uncultured bacterium. RNAcentral's name for it is "partial 16S ribosomal RNA". It matches the Rfam family "Bacterial small subunit ribosomal RNA", at positions 29 to 507 of the family's 1533-position model. The record is from RNAcentral.
AGUGAACGCUGGCGGUAGGCCUAACACAUGCAAGUCGAACGGCAGCACAGUAAGAGCUUGCUCUUACGGGUGGCGAGUGCGGACGGGUGAGGAAUACAUCGGAAUCUACUUUUUCGUGGGGGAUAACGUAGGGAAACUUACGCUAAUACCGCAUACGACCUACGGGUGAAAGCAGGGGAUCUUCGGACCUUGCGCGAUUGAAUGAGCCGAUGUCGGGUUAGCUAGUUGGCGGGGUAAAGGCCCACCAAGGCGACGAUCCGUAGCUGGUCUGAGAGGAUGAUCAGCCACACUGGAACUGAGACACGGUCCAGACUCCUACGGGAGGCAGCAGUGGGGAAUAUUGGACAAUGGGCGCAAGCCUGAUCCAGCCAUACCGCGUGGGUGAAGAAGGCCUUCGGGUUGUAAAGCCCUUUUGUUGGGAAAGAAAAGCAGCAGGUUAAUACCCCGCUGUUCUGACGGUACCCAAAGAAUAAGCACCGGCUAACUUCGUG